This 600-nucleotide long non-coding RNA is filed under the name Androctonus crassicauda. The record is from RNAcentral. Lineage: Eukaryota; Metazoa; Arthropoda; Arachnida; Scorpiones; Buthidae.
AUUUUACCACAGAUACAGUAUAUUUUUUAUGUGCAUUCUUCAGGAAUGUAUUUAUUGUGUAAAAACAGAUCUGUAAAUUUAUAAAUAUACUUAAUUCUAUUUUCCAAAUCAAAAUCAUAACUUAAAAAUUCAUAAUAAUAUCUGUUUGAGAUAGGCUUUGAUAACUUUUGAGAUGCAGUAACUCAACUUUGAUAUGAUUUACUUAUAUGGAGCAAAUAAAUGAUUAUCAAUUGAAGAAACUCAUAUAUGUAGGAUGAAUGGCUGGUAAGUAUGAGAGGAAGACCAAAAGAAAAAGUGAGAGAACAAAUGGAUGAGUAUCUGAGAAUGUAUAUGUUUAAGAGGAUGAAUGGCUGGUAAGUAUGAGAGGAAGACCAAAAGAAAAAGUGAGAGAACAAAUGGAUGAGUAUCUGAGAAUGUAUAUGUUUAAGAGGAUGAAUAAGAGGCAUACUUGGAUGAAGAUAAUGACUGCAGAGGAAGCUGAUAUAAUGUAUAAGAAUAAGGAUAUGUGGUUCUAUAUGAUCUAUGCUAUAUUUUAUGUUUUGUUUUCCUCUUCUCUAUUUUAAUAUUCCACCAAGGAGGACAUAGCUAUAAAGUUGUUGC